Betta splendens (Siamese fighting fish) is the source of this 1640-nucleotide long non-coding RNA. RefSeq lists it as uncharacterized. The transcript has 2 exons. The record is from RefSeq and is a predicted model, not a curated record. NCBI's taxonomy places the organism in Eukaryota, Metazoa, Chordata, Actinopteri, Anabantiformes, Osphronemidae.
UUAAAUGGUGUGUACAGUCUGGCGAUCAACAGUUUAAAACCCAUGACCACCAGGUGCAUGUAGGUUUUAACUGUUUGAUUUAACAUACACCAAAAGCUGAAAAAGAGAAGUUAUUAAUUUAGUUGGUAAGAAUUAGAAAAAAGCGUCUUAGUUAGUUAAUAAAAAACAGGUGUAUCUGCAUGUUUGCCUCACAUUCUGGAGGUGUUCAAAAUAGGCUAUUAACGUGUGCAAUAUAUAUAUAAAUAUUUGGAGGGUUUGUUAGCGGUAGCUUCAGCAAUAAAUAAAUAAAUUUAAAAAAAUGAUUAAAAAAAUACAGGUAUAUAACUAAAACCAAUCAACACAUCAAUCUCAAAUGUAUCAUUUUAAAGUAGACAUAUUUUCGAAAUUAACAUUUUACAUGUGCUGCAGACAAAAAGCAAUAUAUAACAAAGUGAUAUAACUAUGGCUUGUUUAAGCCUUUAUAGGUUUGACUAAAUGAAUAGAUUUGCAAUAAAGUAACUGUGUACAGUUAGUGGAGAGAGUUUUAAAAACGAAAACUAAAAGACAAACCUUGCACAGAUUUCUGUCGCCUUCUCUUCCUGGUUCUAGUCUGAUCACGCCUUAUAAUGAGUCUGCGUUUUGUCUCCUCCGUUGUUUUACUGCGGUCAAGUGAGCAGUCGUUUUCCAUAGGACAGAUCGCACGCCUCAAUAUGAAAAGAGAAAGUAAACGACGGACGAACAAAAGGUUAACUUGACCGAAACUCGCACUGAAUCAAUUCACAGAUCAGUACACAGCUGAUCUGCCGGUAAACGAGCCUGAACCAAACCAAAGAUCACGGAUGGUAACGAACCGCUGAAGUGAUGGCAGAGGGUUUAACAGGAGCAAAGGAGACCAGAAGGUAACAGUGUAAAGCUUCCUAUAAGUGUGAAAACGUCCCUGGUUCACUUUAAAUUAUACAGCUCACUAUAAUAUUCACAGCUGGUAUUAGAAUCUAGUCCAUUGCAAUAUUAAUAUGUUAAUGACCUAACUUAUUAAUGUUAGUGUCAUAACUUAGGUGUCGGGGCUGGGACCCUGGAAUACGAAAGCUCUGUCCUUUAAGCACACACACUCACAUUGUCUCACAUUUGUGGAGUCAAAUUAGGGUCACAUUAGAUUUGUGCGUGCGUAACCAGAUUUUUUCCGGUGAGUUUACCUAGGUGACAUAAUGUUAGCUGUCCCCGUUAAUGCCUUGGUUUACGUUGCCUACAGUAGUGACUGUGAUCUAUGGACGGAGCACAGCGUUUAACUUGUGUUUUGUGUCGUGUUGUGAACGAUCAGGAGCGUCUUGUUCUUUACCGAUUCUUUUGUUACCUGCCGGCAGGCGCUGUCAGCGCCUAAGUAAACUGUGGGCGAAGCGAAGCAGAGUCAGAGCGGUGCAGGUCUCAGCUGACGGUUGAAAGUGAAUGCUGCGAACUAAAUAAACGAUCACGAUUUCUCAAACCAAGCUUUCUGCAGCAACACUGGGCGUCUGUCUCCUUGUAGACGGUGAUGAUGAGCGAUAAACACCGUGAUUCUACACUGAAAUCCAAGCCUGUCUAAAAAAAGCAUUAUAUAUCAGGCUGUUUAAAACCAUUGUUAAAGUAAACGUGUUUGUUGUUGUCUGAUAAACGAUCACACAGAG